RNAcentral lists this ribosomal RNA (253 nucleotides) under uncultured bacterium. RNAcentral describes it as "partial 16S ribosomal RNA". It matches the Rfam family "Bacterial small subunit ribosomal RNA", at positions 524 to 776 of the family's 1533-position model. The record is from RNAcentral.
UACGUAGGUGGCGAGCGUUGUCCGGAUUUACUGGGCGUAAAGAGCGCGCAGGCGGUCGUGCAAGUCGCGUGUGAAAGCCCCCGGCUCAACUGGGGAGGGUCACGCGAUACUGCUCGACUUGAAGGCAGGAGAGGGAAGUGGAAUUCCCGGUGUAGUGGUGAAAUGCGUAGAUAUCGGGAGGAACACCAAUGGCGAAGGCAGCUCGCUGGGACGGUACUGACGCUGAGGUGCGAAAGCGUGGGGAGCGAACAGG